ACAAGCGGUGGAGCACGUGGUUUAAUUCGAUGCAAACCGAAGAACCUUACCUGGGUUUGACAUGUGCGUGUUACUGAGGUGAAAGCCGAGGGACCAUAUCUUCGGAUGUGGAGCGUACACAGGUGCUGCAUGGCUGUCGUCAGUUCGUGUCGUGAGAUGUUGGGUUAAGUCCCGCAACGAGCGCAACCCCUGCAUUCAGUUGCCAACGGUAAGGCCGGGCACUCGUGGAUGGACUGCCGGCGACAAGCCGGAGGAAGGUGGGGAGUGACGUCAAGUCAUCAUGGCCCUUAUGUCCAGGGCGACACACGUGCUACAAUGGCCGGCACAGCGGGAAGCGAGGGGGCGACCUUGAGCGGAUCCCUCAAAGCCGGUCUCAGUUCGGAUUGCAGUCUGCAACUCGACUGCAUGAAGUUGGAAUCGCUAGUAAUCGUGGACCAGCCAAGCCGCGGUGAAUACGUUCCCGGGCCUU
RNAcentral lists this ribosomal RNA (469 nucleotides) under uncultured Thermovirga sp. RNAcentral describes it as "bacterial SSU rRNA". It matches the Rfam family "Bacterial small subunit ribosomal RNA", at positions 925 to 1382 of the family's 1533-position model. The record is from RNAcentral. Lineage: Bacteria; Thermotogati; Synergistota; Synergistia; Synergistales; Thermovirgaceae.